This is a long non-coding RNA of Carassius auratus (goldfish), 333 nucleotides long. RefSeq lists it as uncharacterized. The record is from RefSeq and is a predicted model, not a curated record. NCBI's taxonomy places the organism in Eukaryota, Metazoa, Chordata, Actinopteri, Cypriniformes, Cyprinidae. The transcript is spliced from 3 exons.
UAAUAAUUGCAAAGCUGAUAUAAUGUUUGUGUUCUUUGGUAGAUUAACUUGAACAAUUACCAGGGAAUUGUUUCUUUUGUGAACAUUGACAAUGUCCAUUGGAAGUUUCUGUUCAUAAAUGCGGUCAACCACACAGUGUACCUGGUAGACCCAUCAAAAAGUCCCACAGAGAAAGAUGACUCAAUUCAUGCUGCCCAAAAACUCAGUGAGUACAUACAAAUGAGGAAUACGCAACAAAGAAAAACAGAGUGGCAGAAUAUACAGUGGAAAGGAGGAGUUAUGACACAUCCAGUCCAGCAGGAUGGAAGUAGCUGUGGCGUCAUUGUUGUCUUG